Molecule: ribosomal RNA, 497 nt
Filed under: uncultured bacterium
Lineage: Bacteria
Description: partial 16S ribosomal RNA
Rfam family: Bacterial small subunit ribosomal RNA
Source: RNAcentral
GAUGAACGCUGGCGGCGUGCCUAAUACGUGCAAGUCGAGCGAACGGACGAGACUCUUUCUUCGCUGCUGUUAGCGGCGGGCGGGUGAGUAACACGUGGAUACCCUACCUAUAAGACUGGGAUAACUUCGGGAAACCGUAGCUAAUACCGGAUCAUAUUUUGAACCGCAUGGUUCAACAGUGCAAGACGGUCUUGCUGUCACUUAUAGAUGUAUCCGCGCUGCAUUAGCUAGUUGGUAAGGUAACGGCUUACCAAGGCAACGAUGCAUAGCCGACCUGAGAGGGUGAUCGGCCACACUGGAACUGAGACACGGUCCAGACUCCUACGGGAGGCAGCAGUAGGGAAUCUUCCGCAAUGGGCGAAAGCCUGACGGAGCAACGCCGCGUGAGUGAUGAAGGUCUUCGGAUCGUAAAACUCUGUUAUUAGGGAAGAACAUAUGUGUAAGUAACUGUGCACAUCUUGACGGUACCUAAUCAGAAAGCCACGGCUAACUACGUG